UACGAAGGGACCUAGCGUAGUUCGGAAUUACUGGGCUUAAAGAGUUCGUAGGUUGUUGAAAAAGUUAGUGGUGAAAUCCCAGAGCUUAACUCUGGAACUGCCAUUAAAACUUUUCAGCUAGAGUAUGAUAGAGGAAAGCAGAAUUUCUAGUGUAGAGGUGAAAUUCGUAGAUAUUAGAAAGAAUACCAAUUGCGAAGGCAGCUUUCUGGAUCAUUACUGACACUGAGGAACGAAAGCAUGGGUAGCGAAGAGG
This 253-nucleotide ribosomal RNA is filed under the name uncultured Pelagibacterales bacterium. RNAcentral's name for it is "partial 16S ribosomal RNA". It matches the Rfam family "Bacterial small subunit ribosomal RNA", at positions 524 to 776 of the family's 1533-position model. The record is from RNAcentral. Lineage: Bacteria; Pseudomonadati; Pseudomonadota; Alphaproteobacteria; Candidatus Pelagibacterales.